RNAcentral lists this long non-coding RNA (727 nucleotides) under Mustela putorius furo (domestic ferret). RNAcentral describes it as "lncRNA (ENSMPUG00000024449.1)". The record is from RNAcentral. Lineage: Eukaryota; Metazoa; Chordata; Mammalia; Carnivora; Mustelidae.
AGCUAUCUAUCAGAGAACAAUGAUGUUGACAAACUUCACAGAGUAGGACCCAGCAGGGUUGCAGUGUUCAGAAGGACAGGGGGCUGACAAGGGGGGCACGUGGGUUUAGAUUUAGCUCUGCCGCUUACCUACCUGGAAUCUGAAUUUCCCCAUCUGUAAAAUAAGGGAGUUAGUUUUAAAAUCUAGUCACUAGGUCUCCAAGGCCUCCACCCAUAGUAAGAUCCUAUGAUUCUAGGGCUCAGUUAAGAAAUAAAAGGAUUAACCUUCCCCACCUCCCAUCAUGCGCAAGACAGAAAAUGCUGAAGCCAGAGGGUCUCAGCUGAGCCUUUGGGAGGAGCAAGUAUUCUACUCUGUGACAUCACAAUAUCCAGCCCAGGCCCAGCUGUGGCUACUGAGUAGAAGGUUAACAGAAGGUUCAGCUAUUGAUAUAUUAGAGGUGGGACGCUACCUGACAGAGCUAGAAGGAAUCAGCCAGCCAUGCCUCCAGUUCAGUCUCCAGUCCUUUCCCUCCAUGGAACUUGAGACAGAUUUCACAUGCUCUCCAGAAAUAUGCAUAUAUGAACGUGUGUAAGUAUGUAUUAUGCAUACGUCUCCCUCUCUCUCUGUUAAAGUUCCCAGAUCACCUAGGUAUUCAAUAAACCUUGGUAAAUAGAUGUCUGUACCUCUAUUGUUCCUGAUAGUCUCCAUACUAUUUUUUCCUAAGAAUUAUUGGGCAUUUUAUUCUCUA